Molecule: ribosomal RNA, 253 nt
Filed under: uncultured bacterium
Lineage: Bacteria
Description: partial 16S ribosomal RNA
Rfam family: Bacterial small subunit ribosomal RNA
Source: RNAcentral
UACGUAGGCAGCAAGCGUUGUUCGGAAUUAUUGGGCGUAAAGCGCGCGCAGGCGGCCUCUUAAGUCUGAUGUGAAAUCUUGCGGCUCAACCGCAAGCGGCCAUUGGAAACUGGGGGGCUUGAGUACAGAAGAGGAGAGUGGAAUUCCACGUGUAGCGGUGAAAUGCGUAGAUAUGUGGAGGAACACCAGUGGCGAAGGCGACUCUCUGGUCUGUAACUGACGCUGAGGCGCGAAAGCGUGGGGAGCAAACAGG